UGUUGUUAGGUUUGUAUGAGCAUGUUGGAUCCUUGCUUGCGCAUCGACAAUGUCUCAUGCAUUCCAUUUCAGUUGUUGCCUCAAGUUUUACUUGGUCGUUGUGUGUUUCCUGUGCUAAAUACCUAACAUGAAGGCAUUCCAUUUGAUGUGAAUACUAUAUCCACCUUUUGAUGCCCCCAAGUGGAGUGCGUUUUGUUGGUGGACCUCAAAUCAUGCAUUUUGGUUCACAUCCUUUGCCUGCUUGUUCAUGCUUUGGUUGAUGACCCAUGAUGCUGUGUUUGAUUUCUUGGAUAUUGAAAAUUGUGAGGGAAUGGGUCUUUGGCCUUUAAUAACCCCAAAUUAUGCGUUCGACGCUAUAAGCGAACGACUGUCGUGUCUGUGUUGGGCGAGUCCUUUGGACUUGGCUCAUACGGCACCCAUGUCGGUGAGGAA
RNAcentral lists this unclassified non-coding RNA (432 nucleotides) under Aphyllon uniflorum var. occidentale. Its description in RNAcentral is "partial external transcribed spacer". The record is from RNAcentral. Lineage: Eukaryota; Viridiplantae; Streptophyta; Magnoliopsida; Lamiales; Orobanchaceae.